UGCGGAGGAAAAGAAACCAACAGGGAUUGCCUUAGUAGCGGCGAGUGAAGCGGCAAAAGCUCAAAUUUGAAAUCUGGCACCUUCGGUGUCCGAGUUGUAAUUUGAAGAUUGUAACCUUGGGGUUGGCUCUUGUCUAUGUUUCUUGGAACAGGACGUCACAGAGGGUGAGAAUCCCGUGCGAUGAGAUGCCCAAUCCUAUGUAAGGUGCUUUCGAAGAGUCGAGUUGUUUGGGAAUGCAGCUCUAAGUGGGUGGUAAAUUCCAUCUAAAGCUAAAUAUUGGCGAGAGACCGAUAGCGAACAAGUACAGUGAUGGAAAGAUGAAAAGAACUUUGAAAAGAGAGUGAAAAAGUACGUGAAAUUGUUGAAAGGGAAGGGUUUGAGAUCAGACUCGAUAUUUUGUGAGCCUUGCCUUCGUGGCGGGGUGACCCGCAGCUUAUCGGGCCAGCAUCGGUUUGGGCGGUAGGAUAAUGGCGUAGGAAUGUGACUUUGCUUCGGUGAAGUGUUAUAGCCUGCGUUGAUGCUGCCUGCCUAGACCGAGGACUGCGAUUUUAUCAAGGAUGCUGGCAUAAUGAUCCCAAACCGCCCGUCUUGA
RNAcentral lists this ribosomal RNA (592 nucleotides) under Meyerozyma caribbica. RNAcentral's name for it is "partial 26S ribosomal RNA". It matches the Rfam family "Eukaryotic large subunit ribosomal RNA", at positions 49 to 657 of the family's 3401-position model. The record is from RNAcentral. Lineage: Eukaryota; Fungi; Ascomycota; Pichiomycetes; Serinales; Debaryomycetaceae.